AAAUAUUAAUGUAAACGGCCGCCCUAGCGUGAGGGUGCUAAGGUAGCGAAAUUCCUUGCCUUUUGAUUGUAGGCCUGCAUGAAUGGUUUAACGAGGGUUUAGCUGUCUCUAAAUUUUUAAUUGAAAUUGUAUUGAAGGUGAAGAUACCUUCAUUUAAAAGUUAGACAAAAAGACCCCGUGCAACUUUGAAAAUUAACUUUAUUCAGGGGUAAAAGAUUUUUAGGUGGGGCGCCUAGAAAGUAAGCCUAACCUUUCUGAGUAAGAGUUUCUUUCAGGAGUUGACCCGAUUAUAUUCGAUCAUAGGAGAAGUUACGCCGGGGAUAACAGGCUAAUCCUUUAGUAGAGCUCGUAUUGGCUAAAGGGAUUGGCACCUCGAUGUUGAAUCAGGGAUGAUAGCUUCAAGGCGUAGAGGCUUUGAGAGUAGGUCUGUUCGACCUUUAAUACCCUACGUGAUCUGAGUUCAG
Molecule: ribosomal RNA, 464 nt
Filed under: Magallana bilineata (tropical oyster)
Lineage: Eukaryota; Metazoa; Mollusca; Bivalvia; Ostreida; Ostreidae
Description: partial large subunit ribosomal RNA
Rfam family: Bacterial large subunit ribosomal RNA
Source: RNAcentral